GAUGAACGCUGGCGGCGUGCCUAAUAUAUGCAAGUCGAGCGAAUGGAUUAAGAGCUUGCCCUAUGAAGUUAGCGGCGGACGGGUGAGAAACACGUGGGUAACCUGCCCAUAAGACUGGGAUAACUCCGGGAAACCGGGGCGAAUACCGGAUAACUUUUUGAACCGCAUGGUUCGAAAUUGAACGGUGGCUUCGGCUGUCACUUAUGGGUGGACCCGCAUCGCAUUAGCUAGUUGGUGAGGUAACGGCUCACCAAGGCAACGAUGCGUAGCCGACCUGAGAGGGUGAUCGGCCACACUGGGACUGAGACACGGCCCAGACUCCUACGGGGGGCAGCAGUAGGGAAUCUUCCGCAAUGGACGAAAGUCUGACGGAGCAACGCCGCGUGAGUGAUGAAGGCUUUCGGGUCGUAAAACUCUGUUGUUAGGGAAGAACAAGUGCUAGUUGAAUAAGCUGGCACCUUGACGGUACCUAACCAGAAAGCCACGGCUAACUACGUGCCAGCCGCCGCCGUAA
RNAcentral lists this ribosomal RNA (514 nucleotides) under uncultured bacterium. RNAcentral describes it as "partial 16S ribosomal RNA". It matches the Rfam family "Bacterial small subunit ribosomal RNA", at positions 28 to 523 of the family's 1533-position model. The record is from RNAcentral.